This 106-nucleotide microRNA precursor is filed under the name Canis lupus familiaris (dog). RNAcentral describes it as "mir-8834 microRNA precursor family". It matches the Rfam family "mir-8834 microRNA precursor family". RNAcentral also lists the same sequence under 1 other name. Lineage: Eukaryota; Metazoa; Chordata; Mammalia; Carnivora; Canidae. The record is from Rfam by way of RNAcentral.
AGGAGGAACAACCACAGUGGUGGCGGUCAUCUCUGGAGCCCUGGAUUCAGCUCCUGCAGUAACUACAUUGCUCUCUGUCUGCAGGGCCUGGAGGCUCCAGGGGCAG